AUCUGGAAUGGAAAAACUCCUAGAAUUCGAAAAGGCAUAUUACAAAAAAAUAAGGAGUUGGGUGGAUUAGCAUUACCAAAUUUCCUGUUUUAUUACUGGUCUGCAAAUAUCCGCAACAUGCUAUUCUGGCAACUUUCUAAUGCUGAACCUCCUGCUUGGUUACGGAUUGAGGAGGCUUCAUGUGGCACUCCCUCACUCACUUCUCUUUUAUGCCUACCCAUGCCAUUUUCACCAUCACAGUAUUCUAAAAAUAUUAUAGUUAAAAAUUGUCUUAAGAUCUGGGUUCAGCUCAGACGUCACUUCAAUUUACAGAUCACACCUCUUCUAUGUCCUGUUCACUCUAACCCUCUUUUUCCUCCCUCGCUUAAUGAUAAGGCUUUUGUAACAUGGGUGAGAUGUGGAAUUGUUUCUAUCAAAGACCUCUACAUUGAUAAUAUUUUUGCGUCAUUUGAACAACUAACUCAAAACAGUGACUAUACCACUACUAUACCACUAUACCCCUACUAUACCACCAUCUACCCUGAUCGAUACCAUCUCUAAUAUAAAUCCCGGUCAAAAUGGAGCCAUCUCUAAAAUAUACAACUCCUUGCUCACGUCUCAUACUUCUACAUCUGAAAAUGUGCGUUUUAUUUGGGCUAGGGAUCUUAACAUAGAC
RNAcentral lists this long non-coding RNA (655 nucleotides) under Danio rerio (zebrafish). RNAcentral describes it as "si:ch211-198k9.11 (ENSDARG00000096643.2)". Lineage: Eukaryota; Metazoa; Chordata; Actinopteri; Cypriniformes; Danionidae. The record is from RNAcentral.